This 1453-nucleotide long non-coding RNA is filed under the name Sus scrofa (pig). RNAcentral's name for it is "lncRNA (ENSSSCG00030020444.1)". Lineage: Eukaryota; Metazoa; Chordata; Mammalia; Artiodactyla; Suidae. The record is from RNAcentral.
CUUAUAUUGAUAUGUGUUCCAGUCUUGGCCAUGUAUGGUUUUAUGUCUUUGUUUUGUUUUCUAAGUUGUCUCUUUUUUUGGCUCUCCCACAGCAUACGGAGUUCCUGAGCCAUGGAUCCGCUCCAAGCCACAGCUGUGACCGACACUAAAGCUGUGGCAAUGCUGGAUCCUUUAACCACUGUGCCAACUGGGGAUUGAACCUGCAUCCUGGCACUGCAGAGAUGCUAUCAAUUCUUUGUGCCACAGUGAGAACUCCUGCUUUCUAAAUUGUCUUUAAGCUAUUUGUUAAUUCUAUGGAACCAGACUAUUCAAACUCUCCACCAAAUCUUCAAUCCACCAACAGCAUCAGAUGGAAUUCCUGAGUCCUGCUUCAGCCAUAGAAGAAAGCUCCCUGAGACCAGGGCACUGCUCAGCAAUGCAUGGCCAGUCACAGGAAGAACCACACCUGGGUACCUUCACAUCAUGGAUUUUCCAGGGUCCACACCGUCCGGCUGACACGACGGCUCAUGACAAAUUCGGCCACUCAUAUCCCCAGGAUAAUUCCUGUUGAGGCAGAUGAGCCCCUGAGUCCCUGGAAGAGAAGGACCGAGUGGAGGAGGCACGUCCACAAAGAAGUGUGGUGAAAAGAACGCUGGCUCCACAUUAAAAAGGAUGAAACGGUGCCAUUUGCAGCAACAUGGAUGGACCUAGAAAUGAUCAAGUUUAGUGAAGUAAGCCAGACAAAGACAAAUACUAUAUGCUAUGGCUUAUAUGUGGAGUCUAAAAAAUAAUACGAGUGAACCAGUAUGCAAAACAGAAAUAGACUCACAGAUAUAAAAAACAAACUUAUGUUACCAAAGGGGAAAGGGAAGGAGGAAGAGGGAACUGGGAGCAUGGGAUUCACAGAUACAAACUACUAUACAUAAAACAGAUAAGCGACAGGAUUUACUGCACAGCUNAGCAUGGGAUUCACAGAUACAAACUACUAUACAUAAAACACAUAAGCGACAGGAUUUACUGCACAGUGCAGAGAACUAUAUUCAAUAUCUUUUAAUAACCUACAAUGGAAAAUCAUCUAAAAUACAUAUAAAUAACUGAAUCAUUUUUCCGUACACCUGAACUAAAACAAUAUUGUAAAACAACUAUAUUUCAGUUAAAGAAAAGAAAAAAAAGGAAUUCCCUCUGUGGUGCAACAGGAUCUGCGGCAUCCUGGGAGCACUGGGACGCAGAUUCGAUCCCCUGCCCAGCACAGUAGGUUAAGGAUCUGGCGUUGUGGCAGCUGCGGCUUGGGUCAUAACUGCGCCUCGGGUCUGAUUCCUGGCCUGAGAACUCCACAUGCUGUGGGGCAGUCAGACUGCCUUGGCUUCUAUCUCAGCUCCAGUUCCACCCUUACAGGAAGCAUGAUCUUGGGUCCUUAAAUUCACUAUGUUUCCUUUUCUUCCUGGAUAAAAUAAUGAUAAUAUCACUUACCUGC